GACCUCGUGGCCAAAAUGGACAAGGCACCGGACUUCUAAUCCGAAGAUUGUGGGUUCGAGUCCCGCCGAGGUUG
RNAcentral lists this transfer RNA (74 nucleotides) under Pithovirus LCPAC104. RNAcentral describes it as "tRNA-Arg". It matches the Rfam family "tRNA". From Rfam's summary of the family: Transfer RNA (tRNA) molecules are approximately 80 nucleotides in length. Their secondary structure includes four short double-helical elements and three loops (D, anti-codon, and T loops). Lineage: Varidnaviria; Bamfordvirae; Nucleocytoviricota; Megaviricetes; Pimascovirales; Pithoviridae. The record is from RNAcentral.